Magnolia sinica is the source of this 296-nucleotide long non-coding RNA. RefSeq lists it as uncharacterized. The transcript is spliced from 3 exons. The record is from RefSeq and is a predicted model, not a curated record. NCBI's taxonomy places the organism in Eukaryota, Viridiplantae, Streptophyta, Magnoliopsida, Magnoliales, Magnoliaceae.
UGAGAGAUCUCUUAGCAGCACUCAGGGUGGUCCAAACAUGCAACCCGUGCAUCCUUUUGUGAGAGCAGAAAUGUUGCCAGUGGGUACCUCAUAAGGCCUUGUGAAGGAGGCGGGUCAAUGAUACACAUUGUUGAUCAUAUGGAUUUGGAGCCAUGGAGUGUACCUGAAGUGUUACAUCCAUUCUAUGAAUCAUCUAUGGUGCUUGCUCAGAAGAUGACAAUGGCAGCUUUACGCCAGCUUAGGCAAAUCUCACAAGAGGUUUCUCCUUCAACUGUCACCAGCUGGGGCAGGUGUCC